AUCCAAUAGGUCUGGGCUGCCCCUGGCAAUUUGCAGUUCCAGCAAGCUCCCAGAUAAUGCUGAUGACACUGGUUCUCAGAUCCUACUUUGGUGGUGAGCCUCAAGGUCAUGGCCAUGGCAGCAGAGCGUGGCUAAGCCCAUGCACUUCGAAGUAAGAUAGAACUGGGUUCAAAUCCUGACUUGCCCAUCCCACUAGCUAGCAAACCUCAGCUACUUAGCCUCCUUGACACUCAGCUCCUUAUGUGUAAAAUGUGAAUUAGAGGCAGGAUUAUUUGCUCAUUCUACAAAGAAGUAUAUAGCGUCAACUCUGUCAGGCUUGUGGAAGGCCCCGGGGAAGCAGUGGUGAGCCAGUGCAGGCCCGGUUCCUGACAAUCCCAGAGAUAAUGGAUGUGGAGUCAUCAGCCCAGUGCCUGGUACAUGACCUCCAUGAUCUGAUCAAUCACCAAGUUCUGUUAAUUCAAGCUGGUUCAGAACAGGAGAUCUGGAGAUGUUGGUUUGAAUCAUGGUUCUGCCACUUACCAGCAGAGAGACCUUGGGCCAGUGGGUAAAUAGCCGCUACUCCAUGUCUCUCUCCACCCAGCCCCUUCACCGUGUGACUCCCCUGUGCUCUGGCUGCCCCAGCUCCUCUUCUGGGGGCCCUCGCAACGUUCCCAGAAUCCAGCAACUGUGAGGUUAACACUUUGCCUCUCCUUUACCUCCCAGACCAGGUUCCAGCAGUAUAGCAUUCAUUCCAAUUCCUCAGUGCCCCUUACCUUUCCGGUUGUUUGUUGUUGUUAGUAUGUACACCCUAGAGAAACCCUUGUUCACAUGUACCAGGAGAAAUGUACAAGUUUAUUCAUAGCAUCAGUGUUCUUAGUAGACACAACAGCGAGUGCAACAGCCACAAUAACAAAUCAACUAUAAAUAACUCGAUGCGCGCGGAUGCAAGUUGCCCAUGCAAGCCGUCUCCUUCUGUUGGGUCAGAAAAGCUGCUCAGAGGCUCUGGGCAGAUGAAGGAGACAGGCCAGUCUUCCAGCGGGGUCCGAGACCCAUCAGAUAUCAUGCUGGAUAGCAGGUACUGAGCCCUCAUUUCCAUGCCAGGUGCUACAUUCGUUAGGCUAGUAUCUUCUUUCCCAGCCGAGGAGGCAAUGACCCUGGUUCAUCCCAUUUCAUAGGGAAGGAAGCUGAAAGGUAGAGACGUAAAGUGGCUUGCCCAAGGUCACACAUUGUAGAGCUAGAGUUUGAGGUCACAUCUGGGAUUCCCAAGCCCAGUAUGGGAGACCUUCUUCACCACUGUGGGCUCAUCGCCACAGAGUAGAGGUUUCUGGGGUGCAAGACCUCUGCUCAGGAUCCCCAGCUUUGAGCUCGGAGCCUGGGUUACAGGAGAUGCUCAGAGAACGGAGACUUCAUACCACAAAAUAGUCAAUCAGCCUGUUGGGUCUGACCUCAGCCUCUGGACCAGCCUUACUCCUGCCUGGUCUCUGAAAUCCAGGCCAGAAGGCCAUUUCUCCCCGCAAUUCCCUUGCUUCCUGAUGGCCUGAUUUUGAACCUGGGCUUGUCAGACACAUCUCUGAGAGGCCCCUCCAAAUCUUUAAAUACAAAGAACGUGACUCUACUCACAAAUUCCUUUAUUCUCUAAACAUCGAUUGAGCACCUAUCACAUCAAGUGCAGAGCUCUGAGGGAGAGAAACAGCACGGACCAGAAAUCGUCCUUGCUUACAGAGGCCCUCUGCCGGCCUCGGGUGACCCCAACCCUGAAAACCACAUCCUCCAGAAGAGUGGGUGCUGAAAUAAAGCCCAUGUGCUUGGCUCAGGGACCCUUCAACCGGUCAAAGUAGUAAAAAUGGCUGGACAUUGCAGUGACAUUGAAUGUUCUGUCCUCGUGUGCCUCCUGUCUGACCUUCUGCCUGAGCAAGAAUUUGUUUUUGCUGUGGAAAGUUCAACGUGCUCGUUUAUUUGUUUGGUUUCUUAAUUUAAUCUCUUUUGCAAAUAAAAAUAAAGAUAGUGUGUUUGCCCAAAUAGUGACAGGCUCCACCUGAGAUGUCAUGUGGACGCUCGGGGAAUGAAAAUCCCACCAGUGCAGCUAACGGCCUCGGUGCCCUGGACAGGGGGGAUGUGCCAGGUGGGUUAGGAUCCCAAGCCCCCCAGCACAGCUCUGCCAGGAAUUGAUGUUGGAAAAGUCAUUUGGCCUCUUCAGGCCUGUUUCCCUCCUUUAGGAAAUGAGAGAGUCAAACAUGUUCGUAAAGGUAAAACUUUCACAUUCGCUACCUCAUUUUUGCCGUCAUGAUAUCCUGGGAGGAAGCCUUUUUGAUCCCUAUUUGAUUGAUUGGCAGAGAAAUGAAAGCAGAAGAGUCAGAAGAAUCCAGGGGACCCAGCCACUCAGCACUGGAGAUGGGAUCUCAGUCCAGGCUCCCAGCCCCUGUCUGGAAUGCUUUGGUCUUUCCCAGGGUUUCUCAAAUUUGGGAGACAGACACAUGCCUUAAAAAAUUCUCAGA
Molecule: long non-coding RNA, 2474 nt
Organism: Lutra lutra (Eurasian river otter)
Lineage: Eukaryota; Metazoa; Chordata; Mammalia; Carnivora; Mustelidae
Exons: 3
Source: RefSeq, a predicted model, not a curated record